Molecule: non-coding RNA, 260 nt
Organism: Salvia hispanica
Lineage: Eukaryota; Viridiplantae; Streptophyta; Magnoliopsida; Lamiales; Lamiaceae
Source: RefSeq, a predicted model, not a curated record
ACUUCACCAAGACGAGAUACAACCCGAUGGUGCCCUCUAUUUGAGAGCAUCGUCUCCAAAAUUAAAACGAUAAUGCCUUGUAUGCAACAACACCGCAGUCUGUACGAGCUCCAAUGAACUUCAAGAGGUGAAACCUCAGUUGCAAAGCCGGAUAGCAAGGGAAAGAACUUACUUGAAACCUAAGCAGUCGAGGUGAAACCUCAGUUGCAAAGCCGGAUAGCAAGGGAAAGAACUUACUUGAAACCUAAGCAGUCGAGGUG